This is a long non-coding RNA of Salvia miltiorrhiza (redroot sage), 492 nucleotides long. RefSeq lists it as uncharacterized. The record is from RefSeq and is a predicted model, not a curated record. The transcript is spliced from 2 exons. NCBI's taxonomy places the organism in Eukaryota, Viridiplantae, Streptophyta, Magnoliopsida, Lamiales, Lamiaceae.
UUGGGUUUUAUAUAUAUAUAUAUAGAUAGAAGUGAAAAUAGGUUUUCAUAUGCGCCGCCCUCUUCUUCUCUUGUCACUCCAAUCCAACAUAUUCUUCUCAUUCUUGAUCGAUUAUCAUGUCUUCUCACUCGCCGCUGUGUAGUAUGCUACUUUCAUACACACGUGACAAAAAUCCCCCUAGGCUUUGUGGUGAAAGCAGUUGAAUUCAAAGAAUCCAGUUGGAAGCUUACAUCGAGGAGGAGAUUGUCCCUUGAUGGCUGGGAAACGUAACUCAAAUUCAUACGAGUUUUGAGUUCAUAAUUAAUAACCGUUUCAAGAAUAAAGCCGAGAAAGAUGCACUGGAGAAAAUGAAACGCCUCGUAACUGCACAAGCUUCUGAAGUGGAACUUGAUUAUCUGAGGUAAUCGAUAAACCAAGUCCUUUAGAUUUUGAUAAACAAGAUCUCUACAUUUAAUUUCCUUCGAUUUGUUAGUUUAUUUUGUGAUUCUUGUA